This 304-nucleotide long non-coding RNA is filed under the name Sorghum bicolor (sorghum). RNAcentral's name for it is "long non-coding RNA (SBIC_LNC018712)". The record is from RNAcentral. Lineage: Eukaryota; Viridiplantae; Streptophyta; Magnoliopsida; Poales; Poaceae.
UUUCCCCCAGUACUUUUCCCGUUGAAAACCGAGCGUUCUAGUGCCCUCUCCAUCAACUCCGGCGAGGUAAGCUUGACCCCGGCCAUGGUGCCGCCGGGUGUCUCCUCUGUACCGGCCGGCAGCUGCUUCCCCUCUCCCCCAUCUCUAAUCUGUGCCAUUCAAUCCGAGAUCAACGGCUCCCAAUCGAAGAUACCCUUUCGGCUGGCAUAAUUUCUAAAGAGCCCCUCCCCUUUUUGAUAAUAGAACCCGCAGCCCAAAGCACAUUUUAGGAAUACGCCUUUCAGUUUUGAAAACGUAAAUCAGU